Long non-coding RNA from Betta splendens (Siamese fighting fish), 2656 nucleotides. Lineage: Eukaryota; Metazoa; Chordata; Actinopteri; Anabantiformes; Osphronemidae. The record is from Ensembl.
ACGACUUGAAUGAGCCCCAUUUGGAGCUCAGAAGUCGUCAAAAACACUAGUCCUGUUCAGUUGUAGGAGGUGGGACUAGGGGUGUUAACUGACGACAAAUGACCUGGAGCACAGCUGAUCCCCCCUCCUCCAAGACCAUCGAUCUCAACAGAACUGCUGAAGCCCAGGCUGAAGUGCAACAAGUGUUCUCAUAUCCUAUGUCCCUGUUGCCAAGCACACAGGGAUUAGACCCAAGGAUGGCUGCAUCUCUCUUGGGAUAUUUUUCUGAUCCACAGUCCUUGGAGGAGAGAUUGGGUCCAGCACCGACCAUUUUAAAAGGAGUUGAGCUAAACCAAUGGAAUUGAUGAGAUCAACAAGUCAAGAUGUGUUUGUCCUGGGGACCUACACUAAAAACAGUAAAGUACAGGCAGCACAGUUUCCAUUAUUUAAGAUAACAGCAGUUUAAUGUAGCUUAAUGUAUGUAGCUAAUAUACCCUACUCGAACUGGUAAUACAGUUUACGCUACUUUAUCGUGAGUCUUUAAUUAAUCUCUCUUCUUUUCUUUUUUUAGUAGUGGUUCAGCAGUUAAUAGUAGUUCAGCUGCAGCACAUACAGUACAUUUUUCCAUGUUUGUCCCAGGCAGUAAUAAGCCCUACUGGUCACAAUUUCACAUAAUGAUAUACUGAAAUUAAAAAAUAUUCAACUUGUAUCAUUCACACAUAGUUAAAUAUAUGACUGUAUUGCCCAGGUCUCUUCUAAGCUAAUGAAUUUAAGCACAAGAUUAAAUCUUAGGUCAAGUAAUCAAGACAAGGAGCAAAUUAUUAUUUUUUAUUCCACUAGUCUUGAAAAAGAAGUGACUUCUCUUCCUACACCCAUCUGGGCUAUCAUAGCAUGGGUGGGUCUGCUCAGCAUGUCCUCAGGCUUUAUAGUUGCUUGUGCAAAUAUAGUCUCAUCACUAUUUUAAGCAUAAUACAGCUGGAUCUGGUUUAAUUUUGCUGAAGUUUAAAUGACUCUUCCACCCUUUUCAUGUAUGGUGGUUACUACAGUGGACAGCUAUUUAAAAGCUGUUUUCUUGUAUGUGCAUUGAUUCUGACCGAUAAAUUGCAUAUAAUCCACUUCACUGGACACUAGUACGUUAGUCUGUUACGCUGCCACUCACUGGUAAGCCAUUGUAAGUGCAAAACUCAUUAUUGAAACAAAGAUGGCCGACGGAAAGCCAGACAGGCCAAGUACCUCAGGAAUAUCUUGCCUUAUAAAAUCCAUCUAUAUAUGCUACUAAAAUGUAAUUAGCAGUUUUUGUAACAAAACCUUUAUUUUGUGCAGUUAAUUUCUAUUAUGUGAAUAAUAGGUAAUGUAUAUGUAAUUUGUAAAGUUCAAGUGUAGAGCGUGAUAGAAAAGCCUACAGGAUAGUGAAGCAAAUUCCAUCUAGAUUAAGUGAGGAUGAUGCUAGUAGCAAUGUAAUGAGCAGUGUUAGAAACAUUUUAAAAAAUAUCAACAGUAGUAACAACAUUUCAAAAAAUAAGGUCCUAGCUUUGAGAUGUAAUCUGUUUUAGUAAUCUGUUACAUGUUAAAAACAAAGUUCAGUUUUUGUUUUUUUUAUGCCCAAAGGGUCAUAAAAUCACUGAGAAAAUAAUCUUGAUUGUGGCUUUCAUAAUACAUGCAUGAAAGGGUUAAAUGAAAACUGUUCCCUGUCCCACACUUAUCGAUCAAUAUCAAGAUGUCACUGAGGCUCACACAACAUGUAGACAGACAGCAACACCUGUGCGCUAAAGAUCAACAUUCAUAUUUUUGGAGGAUGGAGACACCCCAGACACUGUAAUAUUGGCAGUAGACCUAUGGGGUGCCAUAUGGGGUUGACAAACCAAAUUGAGAUUGUCUCCCUUUAAGAAUAUUCACAGAAAAGGACAAUUGAUUGUGCUGAAGACAGCCUCUAACACAUUACAAACUAACCAGAUAUUGAAAUCUAGGUCUUUGUCCAAAGAAUGACGGUGUUAUAGAGGCUCAAAGAUUGAAGCUCAAAGGUUAGUUGAGCUUCUGUGUUUCCAUAUUACAGUAUGUCUUUCAAAUCAUAUUCUCAAAAGAACGAAUUGUCACUUUAUAUUUGUCUCAGUCAAUAUCCAGCACAACUACAGUUUUACUGAGUCCCUCCAGACAAGGCUCUAAGCAUCCCCACACAAAGUAACACCAGCUCCUGCCUCAUAAGCGCUGGGUUUCAGCUGUGGUCAGCUGUGUUUUCCACCACAUUUUCUGUCUGCAGUGGCUAAUAAGACUAUUUGGCUGAGAUGCAGUUCUCAAUAAUGCAUUAGACAGGCAAGCUACAGUAGCACCCCUGGGUUCCUUCUGUGUCAGCAACAACCCCCCACAACCACCUAAAACCAACCCAUCCACCACCCACACACACACACACACACACACAGAUUGUACAGCCAAAUGCAUGGAUGCUGUUGCCUCUGCAGUCUGAUUCAAAGGUGAGUAAGGCCUAUUGAUUUGUGGACAGAAAGCACCACUUCUCAACUUCUCUGAGGCCUGGCUGAAAAAUGGAUUGGAGUGAGGAAGGUGGUGGGAAUGUGAGCGAGAUGGUGGGGGGGUGCAAGCCAGAGAAACCAUCUAGAAACAAGAGUAGCAGUAUGAAACCAAUAGCAAUAAACAGUGAACAACAAACUAAUAAAUAAAAUCA